RNAcentral lists this long non-coding RNA (1412 nucleotides) under Rhagoletis pomonella (apple maggot). RNAcentral describes it as "uncharacterized LOC118746099". Lineage: Eukaryota; Metazoa; Arthropoda; Insecta; Diptera; Tephritidae. The record is from RNAcentral.
CUUCAAUAAAUUUUGUUGUUUCUGUCAGUAUUCGUUCAGCCCUUAUACCACAUGCAGACUUUACGGGAGGCAGCGUACUUCUUUCAAAGUUUUCUACCUCAAAAAAAUCAGAUACUGUCUUUUGCAGUUGACUUAGUGCGCUGUCGUCAAUAUGUACAUGACAAAUAGUUGUGUUGUGUGUUCGGUUUUCAUUAGAGCCGAAUAUCGUCCACCCCAGUUUCGUUUCAUGUGCCGUAAACCCUUCCUCAAAGUUAACAACACGCAAUGGCCUAGCUAAAUUUGUGUGAGACACCCCUAUCAAGACAUGUGGCAUAGCGUUCGUAUAGCUUACAAUUGGAAUAUGGCUUAAUUCGUCGUAUUUUUGUUUAAAGUUUUCAGCGCACAAAGUUUGUGGGGGCAAAAACAGCUUUUUAAUCGUGCGAACGUCUUUCAUAUGAAAUCGCACUGAAUCGUAAACACUCGAUACUUCAACAUCCACCCGUUUUGAAACUUCAGUAGUUGUCUGAUCGUCAAACCACUUCAAGCGCAAGAAGUCAGCGAUUCCUUUCAAACCAAUUUCAUCAGCUAUACGCUCCUCCAAAAGAGUGACUUUGGCUCCAUCGUCAAUAAAUGCCAUUACACGUACGCUACCCUUGGGUCCAUACAGUUUUACAGGCAAAAAUUUAAUCGCAACAGCUGAUUCUGUUGGAGGUGAGAUGCCAGCUUGAACUGUUUCUGAAUUAAUUUUAUGAAGCAAUUUAUUAUGAUACUUGCGGCAAGAUGCCACACCACAUUCACGACGAUGAGGGCAAUUGUACAUGCUGUGAUUUGCGGAAAGGCAACAAAAACACAAGCGAUUGUUUUUGACGACCUCCCAGCGCUCAUCAUAUCCUGCCUCUUUAAAAUUAGAACAUUGGUACAAUUUGUGAUCGGAUUUACAAAGCUGGCAUUCAUACUUUUCUUUACCUAUGGUUAACACUUGUUUCGCAAAUCUAUUACUUUUUUGCACCAGCUGAUCUGUGUUUACAUUUGAUUUUGACGUAUUAAUUUCAGUAGCCAUGGCGAUGUACACAGACGUUUGUUGCAACCAGAUACUAAAUUCCUGGAUAGUUGGAUACAUUUUAUUAAUUGAAAAUAUAUGGCGAGCCCAAUCUUCGCGUUUGUUAAGUGGUAAUUUACCUACAAGCUCCUCUAAUAGCGUUGGAUUUGAGAGGUGAGGCAAAGCACCGGCGUUUUCCAGAAAAGCAACAAGGUUGGAUACCAUUGUGGCGAGAUUCACGAUAUCGCUGUAAUUUUUGCCAGUGAUAGAAGGAAAGGCUCGUGCCUUAGCAAGCUGACUCCGGACUAAUAUCUCAGGGCGACCGAAGUGAAAUUGAAGCGUGGAAAUAAUUGCAUUUACACUUGAAGGGUGAAUUAAUAAAGACUCAACCGUA